Molecule: ribosomal RNA, 200 nt
Filed under: uncultured bacterium
Lineage: Bacteria
Description: partial 16S ribosomal RNA
Rfam family: Bacterial small subunit ribosomal RNA
Source: RNAcentral
UACGUAGGGCGCAAGCGUUGUCCGGAAUUAUUGGGCGUAAAGAGCUCGUAGGCGGUUUGUCGCGUCUGCUGUGAAAACCUAAGGCUCAACCUUGGGCUUGCAGUGGGUACGGGCGAGACUAGAGUGGCGGUAGGGGUGACUGGAAUUCCUGGUGAUAGCGGUGGAAUGCGACAGAUAUCAGGAGGAACACCGAGUGGCGA